RNAcentral lists this ribosomal RNA (810 nucleotides) under Acinetobacter baumannii Naval-18. Its description in RNAcentral is "bacterial SSU rRNA". It matches the Rfam family "Bacterial small subunit ribosomal RNA", at positions 28 to 832 of the family's 1533-position model. Lineage: Bacteria; Pseudomonadati; Pseudomonadota; Gammaproteobacteria; Moraxellales; Moraxellaceae. The record is from RNAcentral.
AUUGAACGCUGGCGGCAGGCUUAACACAUGCAAGUCGAGCGGGGGAAGGUAGCUUGCUACCGGACCUAGCGGCGGACGGGUGAGUAAUGCUUAGGAAUCUGCCUAUUAGUGGGGGACAACAUCUCGAAAGGGAUGCUAAUACCGCAUACGUCCUACAGGAGAAAGCAGGGGAUCUUCGGACCUUGCGCUAAUAGAUGAGCCUAAGUCGGAUUAGCUAGUUGGUGGGGUAAAGGCCUACCAAGGCGACGAUCUGUAGCGGGUCUGAGAGGAUGAUCCGCCACACUGGGACUGAGACACGGCCCAGACUCCUACGGGAGGCAGCAGUGGGGAAUAUUGGACAAUGGGGGGAACCCUGAUCCAGCCAUGCCGCGUGUGUGAAGAAGGCCUUAUGGUUGUAAAGCACUUUAAGCGAGGAGGAGGCUACUUUAGUUAAUACCUAGAGAUAGUGGACGUUACUCGCAGAAUAAGCACCGGCUAACUCUGUGCCAGCAGCCGCGGUAAUACAGAGGGUGCGAGCGUUAAUCGGAUUUACUGGGCGUAAAGCGUGCGUAGGCGGCUUAUUAAGUCGGAUGUGAAAUCCCCGAGCUUAACUUGGGAAUUGCAUUCGAUACUGGUGAGCUAGAGUAUGGGAGAGGAUGGUAGAAUUCCAGGUGUAGCGGUGAAAUGCGUAGAGAUCUGGAGGAAUACCGAUGGCGAAGGCAGCCAUCUGGCCUAAUACUGACGCUGAGGUACGAAAGCAUGGGGAGCAAACAGGAUUAGAUACCCUGGUAGUCCAUGCCGUAAACGAUGUCUACUAGCCGUUGGGGCCUU